GAUGAACGCUGGCGGCGUGCCUAAUACAUGCAAGUCGAGCGAACGGACGAGAAGCUUGCUUUUCUGAUGUUAGCGGCGGACGGGUGAGUAACACGUGGAUAACCUACCUAUAAGACUGGGAUAACUUCGGGAAACCGGAGCUAAUACCGGAUAAUAUUUUGAACCGCAUGGUUCAAAAGUGAAGGACGGUCUUGCUGUCACUUAUAGAUGGAUCCGCGCUGUAUUAGCUAGUUGGUAAGGUAACGGCUUACCAAGGCAACGAUGCAUAGCCGACCUGAGAGGGUGAUCGGCCAAACUGGAACUGGGAAACGGUCCAGACUCCUACGGGAGGCAGCAGUAGGGAAUCUUCCGCAAUGGGCGAAAGCCUGACGGAGCAACGCCGCGGGAGUGAUGAAGGUCUUCGGAUCGUAAAACUCUGUUAUUAGGGAAGAACAUAUGUGUAAGUAACUGUGCACAUCUUGACGGUACCUAAUCAGAAAGCCACGGCUAACUACGUG
RNAcentral lists this ribosomal RNA (497 nucleotides) under uncultured bacterium. Its description in RNAcentral is "partial 16S ribosomal RNA". It matches the Rfam family "Bacterial small subunit ribosomal RNA", at positions 28 to 507 of the family's 1533-position model. The record is from RNAcentral.